RNAcentral lists this ribosomal RNA (253 nucleotides) under uncultured bacterium. RNAcentral describes it as "partial 16S ribosomal RNA". It matches the Rfam family "Bacterial small subunit ribosomal RNA", at positions 524 to 776 of the family's 1533-position model. The record is from RNAcentral.
UACGUAGGUGGCAAGCGUUGUCCGGAAUUAUUGGGCGUAAAGCGCGCGCAGGCGGCUUCUUAAGUCUGAUGUGAAAUCUCGGGGCUCAACCCCGAGCGGCCAUUGGAAACUGGGAAGCUUGAGUACAGAAGAGGAGAGUGGAAUUCCACGUGUAGCGGUGAAAAUGCGUAGAUAUGUGGAGGAACACCAGUGGCGAAGGCGACUCUCUGGUCUGUAACUGACGUGAGGCGCGAAAGCGUGGGGAGCAAACAGG